CCUACGGUGUGCAGCAGUGAGGAAUAUUGGUCAAUGGACGAGAGUCUGAACCAGCCAAGUAGCGUGAAGGAUGACUGCCCUAUGGGUUGUAAACUUCUUUUAUAUGGGAAUAAACUGUUCCACGUGUGGGAUUUUGUAUGUACCAUAUGAAUAAGGAUAGGCUAACUCCGUUCCAGCAGCCGCGGUAAGACGGAGGAUCCGAGCGUUAUCCGGAUUUCUUGGGUUUAAAGGGAGCGUAGGUGGAUUGUUAAGUCAGUUGUGAAAGUUUGCGGCUCAACCGUAAAAUUGCAGUUGAAACUGGCAGUCUUGAGUACAGUAGAGGUGGGCGGAAUUCGUGGUGUAGCGGUGAAAUGCUUAGAUAUCACGAAGAACUCCGAUUGCGAAGGCAGUUCACUGGACUGCAACUGACACUGAGGCUCGAAAGUGUGGGUAUCAAACAGGAAUAGAUACCCGAGUAGUC
This 460-nucleotide ribosomal RNA is filed under the name uncultured bacterium. RNAcentral's name for it is "partial 16S ribosomal RNA". It matches the Rfam family "Bacterial small subunit ribosomal RNA", at positions 338 to 795 of the family's 1533-position model. The record is from RNAcentral.